Small nuclear RNA from Bombus pyrosoma, 107 nucleotides. The record is from RefSeq and is a predicted model, not a curated record. Lineage: Eukaryota; Metazoa; Arthropoda; Insecta; Hymenoptera; Apidae.
GUGUAAUAUGAAAGGAGAGACGUUUAUCACUCCGUUUUAGACAAGGAUGGAACACAUAUAAAUGGUAAGGCACUGUCGUCUUUCGGCGACACUUGCCAGAUUUUUUG